RNAcentral lists this unclassified non-coding RNA (337 nucleotides) under soil metagenome. RNAcentral's name for it is "partial contains 5.8S ribosomal RNA, internal transcribed spacer 2, and large subunit ribosomal RNA". The stretch from base 1 to 120 matches the Rfam family "5.8S ribosomal RNA", at positions 35 to 154 of the family's 154-position model. The record is from RNAcentral.
GAUGAAGAGCGUAGCGAAAUGCGAUAAGUAGUGUGAAUUGCAGAAUUCAGUGAAUCAUCGAAUCUUUGAACGCACAUUGCGCCCCUUGGUAUUCCAUGGGGCAUGCCUGUUCGAGCGUCAUUUGUACCUUCAAGCCUUGCUUGGUGUUGGGUGUUUGUCUCGCCUCUGCGCGCAGACUCGCCUCAAAACAAUUGGCAGCCGGCGUAUUGAUUUCGGAGCGCAGUACAUCUCGCGCUUUGCACUCACAACGGCGGCGUCCAAAAGUACAUUUUUACACUCUUGACCUCGGAUCAGGUAGGGAUACCCGCUGAACUUAAGCAUAUCAAUAAGCGGAGGA